This 432-nucleotide ribosomal RNA is filed under the name uncultured bacterium. RNAcentral's name for it is "partial 16S ribosomal RNA". It matches the Rfam family "Bacterial small subunit ribosomal RNA", at positions 29 to 506 of the family's 1533-position model. The record is from RNAcentral.
AACGAACGCUGGCGGCAUGCCUAACACAUGCAAGUCGAACGAGACCUUCGGGUCUAGUGGCGCACGGGUGCGUAACGCGUGGGAACCUGCCCUUAGGUUCGGAAUAACUCCCCGAAAGAGGUGCUAAUACCGGAUAAUGUCUUCGGACCAAAGAUUUAUCGUCUUUGGAUGGGCACGCGUUGGUUUAGCUAGUUGGUAGGGUAAAAGCCUACCAAGGCGACGAUCCAUAGCUGGUCUGAGAGGAUGAUCAGCCACACUGGGACUGAGACACGGCCCAGACUCCGACGGGAGGCAGCAGUGGGGAAUAUUGGACAAUGGGCGAAAGCCUGAUCCAGCAAGGCCGCGAGAGUGAUGAAGGCCUUAGGAUUGUAAAGCGCUUUUACCCGGGAUGAUAAGGACAGUACCGGGAGAAUAAGCUCCGGCUAACUCCGU